GAAUAAAUUGGAAACAGCAAAGAAAUGAAGAUAUACUGAUGUCUCUCUCUGCAUUGGAACAGCGGCUCAUGGACAGUCUAGACAUGGUUCAGUUACCCGGGAAGAGGAAUAGGAAGGUUCCCUUGCUGCUGAAACCAGAGUGGGUAAAACAAAUGGAACUGCUGGUGGAAAAGCGCUCAGAGUGCAAUGUAACUGGUGAAUACUUCUUUGCUGUUCCUGGCAUGCAUAGCUCCUUGGAAGGUAAUGCAGUAGUCUGCUAUAGAUGCUAUUUGUUCAAGGCCUGAUCUUAUUUCGACAACGAGGUUGAGAAAGUACACCGCUACAGUAACCCAGAUUCUUGGCUUGAAAUCUGGUGAGCUCGAGUGGCUGGGUAACCACCUUGGACACACUGUUGAAAUUCAUAAGGACUCGUAUCGCCUCCAUAAAUCAACAAUUGAAAUGGCCAAGGUUUCAAAAGUUCUUUUGGCAAUCGAGAGUGGAACAGCACGGAACUUCAAAGGAAAAUCAUUAGAUGAUAUAGAAC
This is a long non-coding RNA of Lineus longissimus, 523 nucleotides long. RefSeq lists it as uncharacterized. The transcript has 4 exons. The record is from RefSeq and is a predicted model, not a curated record. NCBI's taxonomy places the organism in Eukaryota, Metazoa, Nemertea, Pilidiophora, Heteronemertea, Lineidae.